UUGAUCCCAUGGCUCAGAUUGAACGCUGGCGGCAGGCCUAACACAUGCAAGUCGAGCGGAUGACAGGAGCUUGCUCCUGAAUUCAGCGGCGGACGGGUGAGUAAUGCCUAGGAAUCUGCCUGGUAGUGGGGGACAACGUUUCGAAAGGAACGCUAAUACCGCAUACGUCCUACGGGAGAAAGCAGGGGACCUUCGGGCCUUGCGCUAUCAGAUGAGCCUAGGUCGGAUUAGCUAGUUGGUGAGGUAAUGGCUCACCAAGGCGACGAUCCGUAACUGGUCUGAGAGGAUGAUCAGUCACACUGGAACUGAGACACGGUCCAGACUCCUACGGGAGGCAGCAGUGGGGAAUAUUGGACAAUGGGCGAAAGCCUGAUCCAGCCAUGCCGCGUGUGUGAAGAAGGUCUUCGGAUUGUAAAGCACUUUAAGUUGGGAGGAAGGGCAGUAACUUAAUACGUUGCUGUCUUGACGUUACCGACAGAAUAAGCACCGGCUAA
RNAcentral lists this ribosomal RNA (494 nucleotides) under Pseudomonas sp. CL2.7. Its description in RNAcentral is "bacterial SSU rRNA". It matches the Rfam family "Bacterial small subunit ribosomal RNA", at positions 13 to 500 of the family's 1533-position model. The record is from RNAcentral. Lineage: Bacteria; Pseudomonadati; Pseudomonadota; Gammaproteobacteria; Pseudomonadales; Pseudomonadaceae.